AUCACUUCUUGGCCUUUUGGCUAAGAUCAAGUGUAGGAAAAAACAAUUGAUGAAUUUCAAAAAAUUGCACCAAAAUAAAUGUAAUUUUUGGAUUCCAUUUUCCGUGAACUUUGUCAAGUGUCCUCCUAUGUUUGGCUUUGCCAUCCAGAAAGGCUCUGUUACAGCUCAGCUCUGCUGUGGUGGGGUCAAAGCAA
This is a small nuclear RNA of Oryctolagus cuniculus (rabbit), 194 nucleotides long. Its record names the gene U2. It matches the Rfam family "U2 spliceosomal RNA". From Rfam's summary of the family: U2 is a small nuclear RNA (snRNA) component of the spliceosome (involved in pre-mRNA splicing). NCBI's taxonomy places the organism in Eukaryota, Metazoa, Chordata, Mammalia, Lagomorpha, Leporidae. The record is from Ensembl.